Frankliniella occidentalis (western flower thrips) is the source of this 681-nucleotide long non-coding RNA. RefSeq lists it as uncharacterized. NCBI's taxonomy places the organism in Eukaryota, Metazoa, Arthropoda, Insecta, Thysanoptera, Thripidae. The record is from RefSeq and is a predicted model, not a curated record. The transcript has 2 exons.
CGGGCGGGACCGGCGUCGGGAGGGCGGGACACAGGACAGCGCGCCUCCGUAUCAAGAGGAGGGCCUUGGCCGGGACAGCGAUUGGAAAAUAAAGGACCAAUCGACCAAUCAAUCGAUUGGUUGAGGAUAGGAGUGAUUAAUAGCACCUGCGACCUAAAGGCCCCACCCCCCGGUCGCCACGACACCUGCACCUGCCGGUGCCGGUCUACUCCAUCAAAACGACGACAUCGACAUCGUCGUCGGCUCUGCGGGCGAGCGCCUGUCCUGGCAGCGGGUAGGCCAGCCCGCCGCGCGUGGGAGCGCGAGGUGGCGGGAGGUUGCCUACCCUCGAGUUCACAGGCGCCUCAGGAGUGGGAGCGAGCCAUCAUUACAUUCCGGCGCCUGUUCACCGACCCGACCGCGACAAGACACUCCCAUGGCCCCUGCAAGCGCUACUCCCUCGCCCGUCUAAACAAGAAUCAGAAAGCCUGGAGUUCCGCCUUGCAAGUAGUACCUGAAAAAUCAAAGUAGAUUUAGAACAGAAAAAUGUUUAGAACAGAAAAAUGAUAUGGUACGUGAUUGAGGAAAAAUAGUAAUAAAACAAACCUUUCGUGGGUUAAAGCUUGGCCUAAAGUCCAUUUGUUUGGAAUAUUAUGGAAACGUCCACCAAAUGUAUCUUCGAAGUACACACGCACGUUCUGA